Molecule: ribosomal RNA, 253 nt
Filed under: uncultured bacterium
Lineage: Bacteria
Description: partial 16S ribosomal RNA
Rfam family: Bacterial small subunit ribosomal RNA
Source: RNAcentral
GACAGAGGGUGCAAACGUUGUUCGGAAUUACUGGGCGUAAAGCGCGUGUAGGCGGCUUAUCAAGUCAGGCGUGAAAUUCCCGGGCUCAACCUGGGGGCUGCGCUUGAUACUGAUUGGCUUGAAUGCGGGAGAGGAUAGUGGAAUUCCCAGUGUAGAGGUGAAAUUCGUAGAUAUCGGGAAGAACACCGGUGGCGAAGGCGGCUAUCUGGCCCGUAAUUGACGCUGAGGCGCGAAAGCGUGGGGAGCAAACAGG